This 425-nucleotide ribosomal RNA is filed under the name uncultured bacterium. RNAcentral describes it as "partial 16S ribosomal RNA". It matches the Rfam family "Bacterial small subunit ribosomal RNA", at positions 354 to 796 of the family's 1533-position model. The record is from RNAcentral.
GUGGGGAAUCUUAGACAAUGGGCGCAAGCCUGAUCUAGCCAUGCCGCGUGAUCGAUGAAGGCCUUAGGGUUGUAAAGCUCUUUCGUGGGGGAAGAUAAUGACUGUACCCCAAGAAGAAGCCCCGGCUAACUCCGUGCCAACAGCCGCGGUAAUACGGAGGGGGCUAGCGUUGUUCGGAAUUACUGGGCGUAAAGCGCACGUAGGCGGACUGGAAAGUCAGGGGUGAAAUCCCGGGGCUCAACCCCGGAACUGCCUUUGAAACUCCCAGUCUUGAGUUCGAGAGAGGUGAGUGGAAUUCCGAGUGUAGAGGUGAAAUUCGUAGAUAUUCGGAGGAACACCAGUGGCGAAGGCGGCUCACUGGCUCGAUACUGACGCUGAGGUGCGAAAGCGUGGGGAGCAAACAGGAUUAGAAACCCUUGUAGUCC